UUGGAUCACCUCCUAACAGGGAGACAAACAACGAUUUUGAUGUCUGAGUUAUUUAUUCUUAGGCCAAAAUCCUGUCACCUUAGGUCGAUCGGUACCUCAACUUUUGAGCUAAGAGAGUUCCAGCAAUGGUUGUCUGCUUAGUGGAGAUUUUUAGUUCCUAAACUUUGUCUAGUUCACAACCCAUUAGGGAUGAGACUCCUGGGCCAUUAGCUCAGGUGGUUAGAGCGCACCCCUGAUAAGGGUGAGGUCCCUGGUUCAAGUCCAGGAUGGCCCAUUCGGUGUAGGGGGUUUAGCUCAGUUGGUAGAGCGCCUGCUUUGCAAGCAGGAUGUCAGGAGUUCGAGUCUCCUAACCUCCACUGACUACCAAAAUCCCCAUCUCCAAAACCUGGAGUAUGAACUCGUAUGGAUUGUGAUUUAGAUUUGUCCGCUAGAUGACCCUAGCUUCUUGUCAUUUUAAGGCAUGGAAAUAAUUCCAUGAUUUGAUUGAUAGGAUGCUGGGCUCGAUGCAAUGUAUUGAGAGAUCAAUGCAUUGUUUUGAUGUCUAGCCGAACCUUGACAACUGCAUAGUUUAAGUCUGGAAAGAAUAAAGCAUCUUUAUGGAUGCAUCAUUUUUUUAUGUUAACGCAUAAAGGAGUGAUGUUAAUUCUAAAGCAAGAGCCGAGACUCCAGUAUGUUCUUUCAAAUGUGUCGAGCAUUUGAGAGUUUGAUUUUAAUUUCUAGUUUUAGAAUCUAUUUUUAGUAUCUAACUUUAGAAAUUAGAAAAAUCUGUUUCAACAACAGCAAGCGUACUGGAGAUACAUUGGUCAAGCUACAAAGGGCUCACGGCGGAUACCUUGGCACACAGAGGCGAUGAAGGA
This 857-nucleotide transfer RNA is filed under the name uncultured Synechococcus sp. Its description in RNAcentral is "partial contains 16S ribosomal RNA, 16S-23S ribosomal RNA intergenic spacer, and 23S ribosomal RNA". The stretch from base 284 to 356 matches the Rfam family "tRNA". The record is from RNAcentral. Lineage: Bacteria; Bacillati; Cyanobacteriota; Cyanophyceae; Synechococcales; Synechococcaceae.